Molecule: ribosomal RNA, 253 nt
Filed under: uncultured bacterium
Lineage: Bacteria
Description: partial 16S ribosomal RNA
Rfam family: Bacterial small subunit ribosomal RNA
Source: RNAcentral
UACGUAGGGUGCAAGCGUUGUCCGGAAUUAUUGGGCGUAAAGAGCUCGUAGGCGGUUUGUCGCGUCUGCUGUGAAAACUCGGGGCUUAACUCCGGGCCUGCAGUGGGUACGGGCGGACUAGAGUGCGGUAGGGGAGACUGGAAUUCCUGGUGUAGCGGUGAAAUGCGCAGAUAUCAGGAGGAACACCGGUGGCGAAGGCGGGUCUCUGGGCAACAACUGACGCUGAGGAGCGAAAGCGUGGGGAGCGAACAGG